Molecule: long non-coding RNA, 266 nt
Filed under: Elaeis guineensis (African oil palm)
Lineage: Eukaryota; Viridiplantae; Streptophyta; Magnoliopsida; Arecales; Arecaceae
Description: long non-coding RNA (EGUI_LNC053924)
Source: RNAcentral
UCUUUAUGUGUGACCCCAUAGGUUUAAUUCUAUUUGGUAGUAAGACAUACCAUAAUCUCUAUCAUAGGUAUCACUGAAACCCCUUUCAGUGGGUCAGAAAAUUCCACUCUAACUUGACAAAGAUUAUUGAUCCAAAAUAAUCCUAUUAAGCUCUCACAAUCCACCAGUGACAUCUAACAAUAUAUAGUAGCAACCUAGCAAAACCAAAAUAGAACAUCUAAGUAUAGUUCAUGUGCGAUACAGUCCCUCUAUCGUGAGUCCUGACU